UCUUUUUCUCACUUUUUAUUCUUUUUUUUUCGGUACCGCCGGUGUACCGAUUUUACCGACAGAAUCGUGUCGGUUCCCCGUCAAUCCAGUACGAGACGGAGUGUACCGACCGGUUCGGCACGGUAUGGCAAACCUUGCUUACAAUCAUCAUGGAUCACGAACAAAUAUGUUUGAAGCAGAAGCUUUGGGGAUAUCUCAGCAGCAGUAUGACUAUUACCAGAAG
Molecule: long non-coding RNA, 223 nt
Filed under: Elaeis guineensis (African oil palm)
Lineage: Eukaryota; Viridiplantae; Streptophyta; Magnoliopsida; Arecales; Arecaceae
Description: long non-coding RNA (EGUI_LNC017983)
Source: RNAcentral